Molecule: ribosomal RNA, 496 nt
Filed under: uncultured bacterium
Lineage: Bacteria
Description: partial 16S ribosomal RNA
Rfam family: Bacterial small subunit ribosomal RNA
Source: RNAcentral
GAUGAACGCUGGCGGCGUGCCUAAUACAUGCAAGUCGAGCGAACAGAUAAGGAGCUUGCUCCUUUGACGUUAGCGGCGGACGGGUGAGUAACACGUGGAUAACCUACCUAUAAGACUGGGAUAACUUCGGGAAACCGGAGCUAAUACCGGAUAACAUAUUGAACCGCAUGGUUCAAUAGUGAAAGGCGGCUUUGCUGUCACUUAUAGAUGGAUCCGCGCCGUAUUAGCUAGUUGGUAAGGUAACGGCUUACCAAGGCAACGAUACGUAGCCGACCUGAGAGGGUGAUCGGCCACUCUGGAACUGAGACACGGUCCAGACUCCGACGGGAGGCAGCAGUAGGGAAUCUUCCGCAAUGGGCGAAAGCCUGACGGAGCAACGCCGCGUGAGUGAUGAAGGUCUUCGGAUCGUAAAACUCUGUUAUCAGGGAAGAACAAAUGUGUAAGUAACUGUGCACAUCUGGACGGUACCGGAUCAGAAAGCCACAGCUAACUACGU